Molecule: ribosomal RNA, 1346 nt
Filed under: uncultured bacterium
Lineage: Bacteria
Description: partial 16S ribosomal RNA
Rfam family: Bacterial small subunit ribosomal RNA
Source: RNAcentral
GACGAACGUUGGCGGCGUGCUUAACACAUGCAAGUCGAACGGAAAGGCCCUGCUUUUGUGGGGUGCUCGAGUGGCGAACGGGUGAGUAACACGUGAGUAACCUGCCCUUGACUUUGGGAUAACUUCAGGAAACUGGGGCUAAUACCGGAUAGGAGCUCCUGCUGCAUGGUGGGGGUUGGAAAGUUUCGGCGGUUGGGGAUGGACUCGCGGCUUAUCAGCUUGUUGGUGGGGUAGUGGCUUACCAAGGCUUUGACGGGUAGCCGGCCUGAGAGGGUGACCGGCCACAUUGGGACUGAGAUACGGCCCAGACUCCUACGGGAGGCAGCAGUGGGGAAUAUUGCACAAUGGGCGGAAGCCUGAUGCAGCAACGCCGCGUGCGGGAUGACGGCCUUCGGGUUGUAAACCGCUUUCGCCUGUGACGAAGCGUGAGUGACGGUAAUGGGUAAAGAAGCACCGGCUAACUACGUGCCAGCAGCCGCGGUGAUACGUAGGGUGCGAGCGUUGUCCGGAUUUAUUGGGCGUAAAGGGCUCGUAGGUGGUUGAUCGCGUCGGAAGUGUAAUCUUGGGGCUUAACCCUGAGCGUGCUUUCGAUACGGGUUGACUUGAGGAAGGUAGGGGAGAAUGGAAUUCCUGGUGGAGCGGUGGAAUGCGCAGAUAUCAGGAGGAACACCAGUGGCGAAGGCGGUUCUCUGGGCCUUUCCUGACGCUGAGGAGCGAAAGCGUGGGGAGCGAACAGGCUUAGAUACCCUGGUAGUCCACGCUGUAAACGGUGGGUACUAGGUGUGGGGUCCAUUCCACGGGUUCCGUGCCGUAGCUAACGCUUUAAGUACCCCGCCUGGGGAGUACGGCCGCAAGGCUAAAACUCAAAGGAAUUGACGGGGCCCCGCACAAGCGGCGGAGCAUGCGGAUUAAUUCGAUGCAACGCGUAGAACCUUACCUGGGUUUGACAUGGAUCGGGAGUGCUCAGAGAUGGGUGUGCCUCUUUUGGGGUCGGUUCACAGGUGGUGCAUGGCUGUCGUCAGCUCGUGUCGUGAGAUGUUGGGUUAAGUCCCGCAACGAGCGCAACCCUUGUUCACUGUUGCCAGCACGUUAUGGUGGGGACUCAGUGGAGACCGCCGGGGUCAACUCGGAGGAAGGUGGGGAUGACGUCAAGUCAUCAUACCCCUUAUGUCCAGGGCUUCACGCAUGCUACAAUGGCUGGUACAGAGAGUGGCGAGCCUGUGAGGGUGAGCGAAUCUCGGAAAGCCGGUCUCAGUUCGGAUUGGGGUCUGCAACUCGACCUCAUGAAGUCGGAGUCGCUAGUAAUCGCAGAUCAGCAACGCUGCGGUGAAUACGUUCCCGGGGCU